RNAcentral lists this ribosomal RNA (164 nucleotides) under Eupatorium perfoliatum (common boneset). RNAcentral describes it as "5.8S ribosomal RNA". It matches the Rfam family "5.8S ribosomal RNA". From Rfam's summary of the family: 5.8S ribosomal RNA (5.8S rRNA) is a component of the large subunit of the eukaryotic ribosome. RNAcentral also lists the same sequence under 1 other name. Lineage: Eukaryota; Viridiplantae; Streptophyta; Magnoliopsida; Asterales; Asteraceae. The record is from RNAcentral.
UAAACGACUCUCGGCAACGGAUAUCUCGGCUCACGCAUCGAUGAAGAACGUAGCAAAAUGCGAUACUUGGUGUGAAUUGCAGAAUCCCGUGAACCAUCGAGUUUUUGAACGCAAGUUGCGCCCGAAGCCACCCGGUUGAGGGCACGUCUGCCUGGGCGUCACGC